CCCUGAACAGAGGUUGGCAGUCCGUGGUUGAACACAAAGAAAGCUGGGACGUGGUUAUUUCUUCAACCACCUUCUUCAUUCUGAUCAUUUUUUCAUUUACCUGGUGAGGCGGCAGGGCGAGCCCCGAGGGGGGCUCUCGCUUCUGGUCCCAAGUGCCCGCUGGGCACGACCCGCUCCGGGGACAGCAGCAGGUGAGGAGUUUGACUGGGGCGGUAAACCUGUCAAAGCGUAAUGCAGGUGUCCUAAGGCGAGCUCAGCGAGGACGGAAACCUCCCACAGAGCAGAAGGGCAAAAGCUCACUUUCAGUAUGAAUACAGACUGUGAAAGCAAGGCCUCAUGAUCCUUCUGGCUUUGGGGUUUUAAGCAGGAGGUGUCAGAAAAGUUACUACAGAGAUAACUGGCUCGUGGCAGCCAAGCAUUCAUAGCGACGUCGCUUUUUCAUCCUUUGAUGUUGGCUCUUCCUAUCAUUGUUAAGCAGAAUUCACCAAGCGUCAGAUUGUUCACCCACUAAUAGGGAACGUCAGCUGGGAUUAUACCGUCAUGAGACAGGUUGGUU
RNAcentral lists this non-coding RNA (556 nucleotides) under Cariama cristata (Red-legged seriema). Its description in RNAcentral is "Eukaryotic large subunit ribosomal RNA". It matches the Rfam family "Eukaryotic large subunit ribosomal RNA", at positions 2439 to 2988 of the family's 3401-position model. Lineage: Eukaryota; Metazoa; Chordata; Aves; Cariamiformes; Cariamidae. The record is from Rfam by way of RNAcentral.